Molecule: long non-coding RNA, 4252 nt
Filed under: Podarcis lilfordi (Lilford's wall lizard)
Lineage: Eukaryota; Metazoa; Chordata; Lepidosauria; Squamata; Lacertidae
Source: RNAcentral
CAGUUGAGAACAGUGGGUUCUAGAAGGGGGGCACCUGGUGGGAGACCUAAAGCUGGGCUGGGCUUAGGAUCAGUAGUCCAGUCGACAUCACCAUGGGCACGUAGGCAAGAGGGGCUCUGCCAGCUGCCUGGGAACAGAAUUCCCUCCAUUUAGGUGAGCCACAGAGCCAGGGCUUAGCUUCUUGUAUGGAUGCCCAGAUGCCUUGCACCACCCCCUCCAAGCACCUGAGAAGCAGCUUUACAAACUGUUUCCCCAGACAUUUCCCAUUUGUAACCUCUUCCUCUGUUUUUCUUUUCUUUUCUGCCUCCCAGAAAAGUAGACAAACUAAGGCCCAGGGGCCGGAUGCGGCCCAUUCACCUUCUAAAUCUGGCCCGCGGAUGGUCUGGGAAUCUGUGUGUUUUUACAUGAGUAGAAUGUGUCCUUUUAUUUCAAAUGCAUCUCUGGGUUAUUUGUGGGGCCUGCCUGGUGUUUUUACAUGAGUAGAAUGUGUCCUUUUAUUUCAAAUGCAUCUCAGGGUUAUUUGUGGGGCAUAGGAAUUCAUUCAUUUUCUCUCUCUCCAAAAUAUAGUCCGGCCAUACACAAAGUCUGAGGGACAGUGGACUGGCCCCCUGUUGAAAAAGUUUGCUGACCCCUGUCCUAGGACAAGCAGGCCACAUAGGCAGCUGUGGAUAGCGAAAGAAGGCGAGACCGCAAUGAAAGUUGUGGUAUGUUAAUUCCAUGGGGAAUCCAUUCCCCACAUGUGCCAGGAGGUUGUGGUGCCAACCUGAGCAAAACAGGGCUGGGGUAGGGUGGGGAGAAAAUAAUUGGGGGAGGGCCCAUGGGAACCCAUCCCCUAGAGUGGAUGCUUAUGCCAGGAGAAUACAAUGUCCUUCUUCUUUCCUACGGCCAUGGUUUGGGAGAGCAGCUUAAGUCUCCAGCCAAGCAACAGCAGCAGCAGCCCAGCAGUACCAGGUGGAAACCCAGCAUUUGCAGCUAUGCUGUGGCUUUCUGUGGCUCUCCCAUUGCUGGGGGUGGGGAUUGCCAUUUCUUCAUGCCAGCAAUGGAACAGCUACUUCUCUUUCCCCUGGCUAUUGCCUUGGGGAACAGACCCCCCACCCCCCAGGAGCUGCCUCCAUGGCUAUGGCUUCAGACCUGCGGGAAUCAAUACCAGCCUACUAGUCCAAACCUAAAUAUUUGGGGAAAUAGUUUUCCAUGUUUGGGCUUCAAUUUAAGCAUAUAGCUGUCCAGGACCUCCUAGAUCUCAAACAAGGGCACGUUGCGCUUAUUCUUGCCAUCUUCUUCUUCUCUUCUUUAGAAAUGCUGCCCCCAAAACAUUAACACCAGAGCCAGGUUGAGAAAUCUUACGAAAUCCCCAAAGUUGACAGAAAUAUAAUGCCUUUCAGGUUCUUUCUUUGCCUUCUUAGUCCAUAUUUCUUCUAAUUUCUGCAUCCCAUGAAAACAUCCUUCCUGAGAUUCCAGCCAACACCAACCGGUGGUCUCAGUUACUCUAAUGAACCUUAGAAUAAAAUAGAUGCAUAUAUUUAUCUGGAAGUCCUCCAACCAAUCAAACUAACUGAGCUUGUUUCUUUCUUAGGAGAGAGGCACACCAGAACAAAGGGGGAAAGGCUCACAGUUCAGGUAGGUGGAAAUGCCAAUUGAGUGCCCAAUAUUAUAGGAAUGUUCCCUUCCCGUGUCCCCAACCCUCAUGCGACAGACUGGUGCUAGCAUGGCUGGGAGCCAGGCGCCUGCUGAUGUCUCUGUUUUCUUUGUCGCGAGGAAGCCUUUCCCCAACAUCUUCUUUGUUCCUGCGAAAUCCCUAGAGAGACAUGACGACUCUCAGGUAUGGGGGCAGAGGGAAGGAAGGGGUCCCUGUGAAACACCUUUUUGGGGGGUCAUAGGAACACUCUCCUCACCUGUGGCUUCCAGGAGGUGUUUUUCAGAAGCAUUUCUUCCUCCAGCUGGGGAAACUGAGCAUAAACAUCACGGCUAAUUGCCUUGCAUAACCCUCUGCACCAUGCAAUUGUCUCACCCUCUUUGAAAGCCACCACAUCCAAGAUGCUCUUGUGGGGCAUCUGAUUCUCCUUGGCUUCCUUAUUCCUGCAAGGAGGCGGCUCUUGCGAGAUCGGCAGUGCGAUCUGGUUCACUCUCCUUGCAAUGUUCCACCUGGUUCGCAAUUGCACGUGUACAUCAUUCCUUGACAAUUACAGAAAGCCUGGAACUUUGGAGCAUCUAAUUUGUGUGCAUUUGGCUUUGUGUUCUUGGCCCAAAAAUCUAAAGAAUCAAAAUGGGGGGCAGAAAGGCAGGUGUCCGAAACUUUGGCAAUCCCACCCAGCCCUGAACUCCAUGUGUUUUGAGCCUAUGAGAUUUUGGGUGGAGGCGCGAUCUCCAGAACAUAACCCCUAUGAAAUUGGCAGGCUUCGUCUUGAGAGCAUCCACCACACCAGGCCUCUUCUACCACUUUCAUGGUCUUGGCUUCCACCAAGGAAUCCUGGGAAUUGUCAUUUGUCAAGGACCUACUAUUCCCGACAACUACCAUUCCCAGCACCCUGAACACACUACAGGAUUGCCAGGAUUCUCCAUGACUGUGAAAGUGGAGACAGAAACCUUUAAACAGCCUUUAAACAGCAGCGAGGUAACCACUGUAUAUAAAAACAUAAUAAAACAUUAAACAUUUUUUUAAAAAAACUUCCCUAUACAGGAUUGCCUUCAAAUGGCUCAGGGGUUGGAAAACUCCAUACCCUCCAACAUUUCUCCAAUGAAAAUAGGGACAUCCUAAGGAAAAGAGGGACAUUGUGGGAUCAAAUCACAAACCAUGACGGCUUCUCUAAAUCAGGGACAUCCCUGGAAAACAGGGACACUUGGAGGAUCUGUACUGAUAGGCCUAUCAUCUUCCAAAAAUUGAUCCAGUCCUCUUUUAAAGCCCCCAAAGUUGAUUGCCAUCACUACUUAUUGUGAGAGCGAAUGCUGACAGUGUGUCAGCAGCCGUGGAGAGCAAACUUGGGCCAAUGUUUACACUGUACAUUUAAAGCACUAUGAUACUACAAUUGUCAGAGUGGUUCAUCAAUCGAUCCGUGUUUCCAAGGAACGCUGGAAAUUGGAGCUCUGGGAGGGGAACAGAGGCCUCCUAACAACUCCCAGCACCCUUAACAAGGCACAGUUCCCAGAAUUCUGUAGGGGAAGCCAUGACAGUUAAAAGUAGCACCAUAGUAUGGUGUGAAUGUGGCCUCUGACUCUGUCUGUGUGUACAGAUAAGAUAGUACAACCCACCCUGGAUACCCCUGCUUUUAUUCAUUGACGGAGUCCGAUUCCCUUGUGCAUUAUCCUCACACUCUUCACUCCCAGUGCUACUGAAGCUGAGUCAUGCGUGAGGAAUGCCAGGACUUCAGUGGGAGGAGUUGGGUCUCCCUGUCCCAACAGUGUAAGAGAUUAAAGAAGCUUCUCCUGCCAAUUGCAAGGGGAAGUAAGAAGUCAGAGACGAUGCUGUGCCAGUUGGAUAGGCCUAUGUCUAUCAAUGCCAACUUCGGCAGGUGAUGGAGGAGAGAAACCUUUGUACAGCACAAAGUCCUUUUCUUAUUUCUCUCCCCUGCAAAGAACACAGAAGAAAAGGAGAACAUUACAGCUUGGGAAGAAAGGGGAAGUACAGUGAUUCUUCCCCCCCACCCUAGCAUACCCUCCAACAUGACACUGCCCCAAACCGGGACGCCAUUUUCCUGUUGUUAAAACUGUUAACGGAGAAAUCUGAGGGCUCCCUUGGACAAAAAAACAAGGACACCAGCCAGGAAUACCAGAGCAAAACAGCAGCCAGUAGGCUUGGUCUUUAUUGAAGACUGUCGCGACAGGACUCCCACCUGCCACCAGGUGAAACAAGAUGGAAGCCCAGAACAAAAGAAGACCCCAACUUUUAUUAGCUACUAAUCCCCCAAACUACACCCCUAAAACUACAUCACUACAUCAUUGAUACAUCACAAAAAGGAGGGGUUGAGGGAGGAGUUGUGGAGGUAACCUGAGUAUUCUGCCACCUGGCUGGUUCCUCCUUUCCCCCUCCCCAUGAGUACUUUCCAGAGUACUUUCCUUUAAUUCAGCUGUCCCUAGUCCAUGGACUUAUCUGGUAACAGUAGCUGGGCCUGGGAAGCUGUCUGCUACAGUAUUUGAAAUUCCCCACAAUGCUUUGGACUGCCAAGCGCAGAGGAAUUAUAAGAAAUCAUCAUUUGGCCUUGAAGAGUCCUCUCGUUAUGUCAGGGUGCUAUUAUUAUUAUUAUUAUUAUUAUUAUUA